This 2774-nucleotide long non-coding RNA is filed under the name Pelobates cultripes (western spadefoot toad). Lineage: Eukaryota; Metazoa; Chordata; Amphibia; Anura; Pelobatidae. The record is from RNAcentral.
UGCGAUAUUCAUAAAAUUGUCUGAUUCUGCAUCCACCUUGGCUAGUGCAUGGUUAUUUCCAGGGUACCAAAGAAGCCGUACAGGCACAUCAUGAGCUUUCAAUGCUCUAUAAUAUUCCAGGCCCUGCUUGUUCGGCACUCGACGAUCAUCCUCUCCCAGCAUUAAUAGGACCGGGGUCUUAACCUGAGAGACAUAUCGGAUAGGGGAUUUAUCUAACAUUUCCCCAUAUUGAGAAGGAUCCGGUGCAGCCUGGUAAGAGUAAGGGAUACCGGAUUCCACCAAACACCAGUCUGGUAUAUCAGUUGAUCCAAACAUUGAGAGCAGGUUAGUCACUGGGUUGCGAGCAAUGCAUGCUUUAUAGAAUCCUGGGUAUUGACCAAUCAAAUGACACGACAAGAAGCCACCGUGUGAUCCUCCACAUAUUAUGACCCUGUUUGGAUCCAAAGAUUCUUCUUGCAGAACUUGCUCCACUGCAAACUGAACAUCUUUGACAUCUUGCUCUCCGACAUUCUUUGGCAGGGAAACAAUGCUGUCCUGUCCAAAGCCCACUGAUCCUCGAUAAUUUACUAGUAGUACAGCUAAACCCAUGUUACACAUCAUAGCCGGAAAAAGCAUCCAUUCGCUGACAAAGGCAGAGUGUGGGCCUCCGUGAGGGUAGACGACCAAGGGAAUUUUGCUCUCAGCAGGGAUGUUCUGCGGCUUAAGGAAGAUAGACUCAAAAUUGAGGCCAGGAUACUUUGAGUUCUCCUGUUCUUGAGGAGGUUGAUGGACUUUGAAACUCCAAUCUAUAUUAAAACCAGAAUUAUCUUCCUUCAAUGAAACCCAUGCGAUGUCAUCUUCUUUGCCAUUAGGGGGUAAGAACCCCACUUUUAUUGUAGGUGGGUGGUUUGGAGAGGAAAAUGAGGUAACAAGUAGAUCUCUGUCAAUAGCCAACACCUUCCAGGAUCCUGGUGGAUAAUUUCCUUUGGAUUGGAGUGGUGUCAGCUUUCCAUUUAUAAUAUCCACAACAAACACACUCUGUUUACUGCGCUGCACCGUAUCAAGAACCACUCGUUGGCUGUCUGCAGACCAGCAGAAUGAAGCGAGUAAUGUGCCAUAAAUACCUGCAAACUGCCCAUCAGUGCUUCGGGGCACAAUAUCUACCACAGUCAGUGGUGUAUCCUGGUUUUGUGCUGCCCUAGGCAGGACAAAACUCAGGCACCCCCCUCUCCCCGCGCCACCCCCACCCAACCCUUCCCCCCGCCCCACCUUCUAAAUACACAUACACACACACACACACACAGUCAGACACAUACACACACACAGUCACACACAUACACACACACAGUCAGACACAUACACACACACACUCACACACACAGUCAGACACAAACACACACAUAGACAGACACAAACACACACACACAGUCAGACACAAACACACACACAGUCAGACACAAACACACACAGUCAGACACAUACACAGACAGUCAGACACAGUCAGACACACACACAGAUUAACUUUUUUUUUUUAUUUAAAUCCCCCCCCCAACCUCCUUACCUUUGGGAGUGCUGGGGGGGGGUGGGGGUCUCUCUCCCUGGUGGUCCAGUGGCUGCCGGUCGGGCGGGCGGGCUGGCGGUCGGGCGGCUGGCGAGGGAGCACUUCCCAUGAGCUGUCUGCUCAGCUCCCUCGCGCUGGCUGCAGAGUGAGGCUGGGAGCCGGAAGAUGACGUCAUCUUCCGGCUCCCAGCCUCACUGUGCGGCGCGCGAGGGAGCUGAGCAGUCAGCUCAUAGGAAGUGCUCCCUCGCCAGCCGCCCGCCGCCGGGAUGUCAGUUAGCCGCAAGGCUAACUAGGCAUUUGCCCUGGGCAUUUGGGGGGCGGCGUUUUUUGCCGCCCCCUGAAAAAUGCCGCCCAAGGCAAAUGCCUUGUUUGCCUCGCGGCUAAUACGUCCCUGACCACAGUGGAGGUCACUUUUGUAUACCAAUCAUACAUAAGCAGUUUGCAGCACUGCUGAUGAGGUCCAAAUUGUUCACACAUUAGAUAUACUAUACGGCACUUGUCAGGGCUCAAUCUGGGUGAAAAAACAGAAGCCAAGUCCGUGGAGAGUGUUUCACAUUUGCCGCCAGUCAGGUCCACAAAAAACAGUGCAGAUCUCCUAUUGGGGCAAUACUUUAAGCCAAGUCGAUAAGGGGAAUGCCACCAGCCGACAAACACAACUCCAGUGUCAUCAGGGGACCAGAAUGCCUGUCCUGGUGACACAUAUUCGGGUAUUCCAUCCAGUACAGAAAUGUUGCCACUCUCGAUGUCCAUAACACACAAAACUGGAACACUCUUAUUUACCAGGCCUUCUCCCCAGUCCUCAUGGAACACAAACUGAUCACCCUUGAUAGGUUUUGGGAUAGCAUCUUCCUUCCCAUCAGACACUCCUGAGCCAAGAUUUUUAGAAUCAAUCUGGAAGAAGCUUUCUGUUUUGGGUCUCUUUUUUUCGGCAAUAUACAAUAGAUGAGAUUCGGAAUGGGACCAGGACAGACAUCCAAACUGGUCAUCCUCAUACACCUUCCCAUGCUUAUCGAGAGAGGUCAGGUUGAUGCUCUUUAUUUUGCAAUUCUUGUCCCACACCUCCAAGAACUGCGUGCUUUCCCCUUUGGCAUUGGUGGUGUCUCGUAGGACAGCUUUCAGUGAUCCAGAAAGGGACUCUUUGCUGAGUAGUUCUCCCUUGAUCUCGCAGCUAUUCCCACAGGCACCUGAAUACACAAUGGUGUUAUUAUCAUGGAACACUAUGUACUGUCGGCAG